RNAcentral lists this ribosomal RNA (429 nucleotides) under uncultured bacterium. RNAcentral's name for it is "bacterial SSU rRNA". It matches the Rfam family "Bacterial small subunit ribosomal RNA", at positions 355 to 776 of the family's 1533-position model. The record is from RNAcentral.
UAGGGAAUAUUGGACAAUGGGCGAAAGCCUGAUCCAGCAACGCCGCGUGGAUGACGAAGCAUCUUGGUGUGUAAAAUCCUGUCAGUGGGGACGAAACGUAGAGGUAGGAAAUGACCUUUACCUGACUGUACCCGCAGAGGAAGUUCCGGCCAACUCCGUGCCAGCAGCCGCGGUAAUACGGGGGGAACGAGCGUUGUUCGGAUUUACUGGGCGUAAAGGGCACGCAGGUGGGAAAAUAAGUCAGGUGUGAAACCCCAAAGCUUAACUUUGGGACUGCAUUUGAAACUGUUUUUCUUGAGUACGAGAGAGGAUGGCAGAAUUCUUGGUGUAGCGGUGAAAUGCGUAGAUAUCAAGAAGAAUACCGGUGGCGAAGGCGGCCAUCUGGCUCGAUACUGACGCUCAGGUGCGAAGGUCGGGGGAGCAAACAGG